This 378-nucleotide unclassified non-coding RNA is filed under the name plant metagenome. RNAcentral's name for it is "partial contains 5.8S ribosomal RNA, internal transcribed spacer 2, and large subunit ribosomal RNA". The stretch from base 1 to 105 matches the Rfam family "5.8S ribosomal RNA", at positions 50 to 154 of the family's 154-position model. The record is from RNAcentral.
GAAAUGCGAUAAGUAAUGUGAAUUGCAGAAUUCGGUGAAUCAUCGAAUCUUUGAACGCACCUUGCGCUCCUUGGUGUUCCUUGGAGCAUGCCUGUUUGAGUAUCAUGAAAUCUUCAAAGUAAAUCUUUUGUUAACUCAAUUGGUUUCUACUUUGGUAUUGGAGGUCUUUGCAGCUUCACACCUGCUCCUCUUUGUUCAUUAGUUGGAUCUCAGUGUUAUGCUUGGUUCCACUCGGCGUGAUAAGUUAUCUAUCGCUGAGGACACUGUAAAAGGUGGCCAAGGUAAAUGCAGAUGAACCGCUUCUAAUAGUCCAUUGACUUGGACAAUACUUUUAUGAUCUGAUCUCAAAUCAGGUAGGACUACCCGCUGAACUUAAGC